AACGAACGCUGGCGGCAGGCUUAACACAUGCAAGUCGAACGGUUGUAGCAAUACAGCAGUGGCAGACGGGUGAGUAACACGUGGGAACCUUCCUAGGGGUACGGAACAACUCAGGGAAACUUGAGCUAAUACCGUAUACGUCCGUGAGGAGAAAGAUUUAUCGCCCUUAGACGGGCCCGCGUCGGAUUAGCUAGUUGGUGGGGUAACGGCCUACCAAGGCGACGAUCCGUAGCUGAUCUUGGAGGAUGAUCAGCCACACUGGGACUGAGGCACGGCCCAGACUCCUACGGGAGGCAGCAGUGGGGAAUCUUGGACAAUGGGCGCAAGCCUGAUCCAGCCAUGCCGCGUGAGUGAAGAAGGUCUUCGGAUUGUAAAGCUCUUUUGCCAGGGACGAUAAUGACGGUACCUGGAGAAUAAGCCCCGGCAAACUUCGUGCCAGCCGCCGCGGUAA
This 451-nucleotide ribosomal RNA is filed under the name uncultured bacterium. Its description in RNAcentral is "partial 16S ribosomal RNA". It matches the Rfam family "Bacterial small subunit ribosomal RNA", at positions 29 to 523 of the family's 1533-position model. The record is from RNAcentral.